UAGUGGCGGACUGAAGAAGUAGAACGACCCCGACUUCACCGCUGUAUCAUUGAAGUGAUUCCUCCCGUUUACGUUGACUGAAUUCCUGUAGAAGGUGAGCAGCGGUGCGACUUGGAAUGAUCUGACUAUCUGUGCUUGUAACUAAAAUCGGCCACAAUAUGACGGUAAUCGGCUUGCUUCAUCUUCCUUAGAGAGAUGACAGCUUUUAACUCCAUCUUGAAGAGGAGACUCCUCCAUCAUGGCCUCAUAUGCCAUCACAGGACACUCUCCUAGUGGGAUGCUGCAGUUUAAUCUUGAUAGUGCAGAUGCAUUUGAUAGAUUUCACAAUGACUUUGUAGUAUCUAGUAGACCACAAGAUUUUAGUUCUGUUAAUCCUGAUAAUACUAAAAUAAAUGUUGACAUAGUGAAACAGUUACCCAGUACCAGGCUUCUCAAUGAAAACUUUCAAAAUGGAAAGAAACCAUUCAACAGUGAAUCUGCUCCUGUAGUGAAUAAUCACCUCAUGCCAGUUCUCAGCAGAGGGAAUAUCAGCUUGGUAGAAAAGAGGAGCAUAAAGGAGAAGAGCAGUAGAGCUGCAGGAAAAUAUAAAACAUUAGAAAGAAAGUACAGAAGAAUUACCCGUCCUAAGCGAGACUAUUGUCCAUCAACAUCCACCCCAGAAUCGACGGCCUUCACUUUUGCUUCGUUCAUCAUUCUCGUCGUUCAGGGAAUUGUCAAUGUCAUCAAUGUGAUUAAUAACAACAACAACAAUAAUAAUAAUAACAACAACAACAACAAUAAUAAUAACAAUAACAACAAUGAGAACAACAACAAUGUGAUGAUUGUCAACAACCAAGAAAAUAAUGCCCAGAUGAUGGGAGGUAAAAGGGCUCUAAGGCACAAAAGAGGAGUUGGUCGAGGUAAACAACUUGAAGAUAAAGACUUCCCCAAGCCAGUGGAUUCAUUAUCAGGUUUUCUCAUAAGCAGUUUUUUUAGUAGCAAUGACAGAAUGAAGAAAAAAACUCAGAUGAGCCCUGUAAAUAAAAGUACUGAUCCUAUUAGUUAUGCACUGACCAAAAAUAAAACAUGCAGUUGCAUCUCUAAGCAUAAUAACAUUGCAAAAUGCAGUCUGUUAAAAAUCUGUGAACUAAUUACUUCAAACGCUCGUCACCAUAAUGAUGAUUUUGCCUCAAAUCUUUUACAAUUACAAUAUAAUAUUCUUAAAGGUAAGAUUCUACACAGAAGUCCCCACUGCCAUACCAUUACUGGUUAAAAAUUAAAGUUUCAAGAUCUCUCAAGUGGCAGUUUUAUGAGGCUUUCAGCUUUGAUUCCCAAUAUAUAUAUACUUUAAGAUUCAAUGACUAUUGCAAGUUUAUAAGUCUUACCAAGAUGAAAAAUGCCAAUUGAGAGCUAGCAAUGCAUAUGGCCACUUCUACUUAAAACUUACAUUGGUGAGUGGACAGAUGGAUGAAAUAGACUAGGUACAUACAGUACGUACUCUAUUAUGAGAUAGUCAUUUUUCCAUGUCAGGAUCCUCCAACAAUUCUCACUAAGAGUAUCUUACAGGUGGAAGGAUCACACAACACAGGAGCCAUCGCCAGCAGCCUAAUCCCGGGAGGUCAGGAAGCAUAAGGCCGAAUGAAACUCCCAAAGUGACAAAGAGAAGAGAUGGCUCUCUAAUCCUCCGGGGGCCCACCCCCUGCCUAAAAGAAGGCGGAUGACACUCACUGAGCAUCAG
RNA transcript from Macrobrachium nipponense, 1717 nucleotides. It is a transcript of the gene named myb-like protein A, with no coding region annotated. The record is from RefSeq and is a predicted model, not a curated record. The transcript is spliced from 5 exons. Lineage: Eukaryota; Metazoa; Arthropoda; Malacostraca; Decapoda; Palaemonidae.